Long non-coding RNA from Platichthys flesus (European flounder), 352 nucleotides. RefSeq lists it as uncharacterized. The transcript has 3 exons. Lineage: Eukaryota; Metazoa; Chordata; Actinopteri; Pleuronectiformes; Pleuronectidae. The record is from RefSeq and is a predicted model, not a curated record.
CACUCCUCCUCAGUGAUUAUCGGUGACCUUGUGAAGACUGUGGAGAGAGAAACAACCCACAGAGCGUCAUUCAGCCGGCCCACAGCCUGCAGGCCACGAGUGGUCAAAGAGCGUUUGAAGAUCAACCUUGGAAAUACCUCAAAGAACCCUUGGUCCUCUACUUCAAAAGAAACGUACUGUUGUCACAAGCUGGGCGGUCCAGUUGUGCUGAGAAGGGGAAAGAAAACCUCCAGUUCCUUACCCAGUGGAGACACUGAUACGAGUCGCAACAGAGAGAGACUGUCGCUCACCACUAAUAGAGUCUCCUUCUCCGAUGUGAGACAACAGAUUUAUCCGUUUUAUUUGUUUUUUG